CCCAAAUUCUCUCCUAAUGGUCCAUAUUUGGGGUGAGGGAAACAUCCUAGGAAUGAUCUCUUAUACCCUAAAGUGUUUGCCGCUGUCAAUCCUUUCUGAAUCCUUCGACCCAUUCUCUGUUUUGAAUCCUUGUUGCUCUUUCAGGAAAAGGAUCUGUUUGCAGAAAUGGACAUUGAUUCCUUUGAGACAGAGAGGAUUCCAUUCGACACCAAAGAGAGGCCACUGGGUAAGGAGGAAGGGUUUUUUUCUCCAUUUGGUCACAUUCUGUGGAUUUGGAAACUAAUCUGCGAGUUCUUUUAAUCUUCUUAGAUUAAAACUGUUAUGUAUUGAAGUUCUCACCCUGGCCAAAAGGAGUAUUGUGUAUGUAGUUUUCACUCAGGUCCACGUCAGUUAUUUUAGGCGGGAAACCCUGGGCUGUUGUUGCUACAAUGUUGACAGCCGGCUGCCUAUAAAAGCAGGCCGGCUGAGCUGUUUGCUGCUCAGUUCUGUUCCAGCUUACAAAUAAAGAGCUGCUUUGAAGAAAUCGCUGCGUCGUCUGCUAUGUCUACCUAAAAACAUAAAAUACUUUAUAUAAAAUAUAAAAAUAUAAAAUGGGUACAAGAAUCUUGCAUGCACUCAGCAGGUGGCGCUGUGGUCUAAACCACUGAGCCUCCUCUUGGACUUGCUGACAGCAAGGUCAGCAGUUCGAAUCCCCUGACAGAGUGAGGUCCUGUUGCUCUAUCCCAACUUCUGCCAACCUAGAAGUUCAAAAGCACACCAGUGGAAGUAGAUAGUGGUAUCUCGGGUUACAGAUGCUUCAGGUUACAGACUCUGCUAACCCAGAAAUAGUACUUCAGGUUAAGAACUUUGCUUCAGGAUGAGAACAGAAAUCGCGUGGCGGAAGCGGCAGCAGGAGGCCCCAUUAGCUAAAGUGGUGCUUCAGGUUAAGAACAGUUUCAGGUUAAGAAUGACGCACAGAGUAAAUUAAUAAUGCAGAGUUGUUAAGUGAAAGAAUAAGAGCUUUACUGAGUUAAAAUAAACUUCUUCAUCAACAACAUGGUUCCAAACAGUUUGACUGAGCUUACAUACUGGCUCUGCUCACAACUGACUCUGACUGAAAUCUUACUGAGAACACAGAGAGAAAAUGGCUGCUACUUCUAAGGAGAAUGAGUCCCAUGUCAGAGCGACUCCACAGUUAGCAGUUAGGCCUGAAUAACUUUCUUAGGCCCAAAUGACUGUGCAGUCCCAGCACUUCCCAGCCUGCUUUGCUGCUUCUGCUCUCAUGUGUCUUAGUCACAUGACCUCCAGAAAGAAUUAAGUUCUUAACGUGAGGUACCACUGUAAAUAGGUGGCGCUGCAGCAGGAAGGUAAACGGUGUUUCCAUGCGCUCUGGCUUCUGCCACGGUGUCGUCUUGCGCCAGAAGCAGUUUAGUCCUGCUGGCCACAUGACCCGGAAAGCUGUCUGAGGACAAAUGCUGGCUCCCUCAGCCUGCAGUGAGAUGAGCGCUUCACCCCAUAGUCCCCUUUGACUGGACUUAACCGUCCAGGGGUCCUUUGCCUUUACCUUUUACUACUAAAAGCACCGAGUGCUUUUCCAGCUGCACUCGCUCACGGUGAAGUACAGGGUCGGAUUUAAGGUCCUGGUUUUGACCUUUAAAGCCCUUCACGGCCUGGGACCCUCGUACCUACGGGACCGCCUCUCCCGGUCUGCCCCAUGGAGAGCCUCAAGGUCCGUAAAUAGCAACACCCUAGUGGUCCCGGGCCCUAAGGAGAUUAGAUUAGCUUCAACCAGAGCCAGGGCCUUUUCAACACUGGCUCCGGCCUGGUGGAACGCUCUGUCUCAUGAGACCAGGGCCCUGCAGGAUCUGAUUUCUUUCCACAGGGCCUGUAAGACAGAGUUGUUCCGCCUGGCCUUUGGCUUGGAGCCAAUUUGAUUCCCUCCCUCCCUCUCUUUCUUUUUCCUUUUCCCUUUUCUCCUCCUGUGAUGAGGCUGCAUUUUAAUAUUUUAAUGUUUCAAUAUUUUAAUGUUGUAUUUAAAUUUUGUUUUUAAGUUGUAUUCAUUCAACUUGUUUUUAUUAUUGCUUGUUAGCCGCCCUGAGCCCAGCCUUGGCUGGGGAGGGCGGGGUAUAAAUGAAAAUUAUUAUUAUUAUUACUACUAUUUCUUUGGUCCGUCUGUGGUUAGAGAUGCACUAAUUCGCCUCUGAGGAAAGCAUGCACUCAUGGUCUCCCACCUCCCUUUAUUUCUCGCAGGUGACAGAAGGAUGCCAGCAAGACCUCCUCAUCCAUCUUUCCAUGGUAGCGGAGAGGAGGCAGUGGCUGUAGAACCAGAUGAGGUAAGGGAAGGAGCAUUGUGGAGAAAGGAGCAGUCAUGGUUCCUCUGAGGCUGAGGAAAUCUCUCUCUUCCUGCUCUGUCUUACUGCUGUAUUGAUGGUGGAAUGCUGGUAUAUGUUGGGAAGCUGGUAAGAAACCAUAGAAAAAAGUUGCCAGGAUUCACCUCAUCAGUUGCCCAGUGGGCUUCUUCCCACUUUCCUCCUGCUCUCCGUGCCCCCAUGCGCCCCCUGAACUUUGCUUUUGCGCAUCAGGAGAGUUCCACCCCAGAACUGCGCACAGGGAGAGUAAAGGGGGGAUCCUUCUCACUGGCAACAGGAAUGCUUUCACAGACAUAUUUGUGAUUUGAAAUCCACUAUGUGGAGUUCCACCCAUUUAUACAAAGAUGAAUACCCAUCAUUUAAAGACACGAUAAAAAAUGCCAUUAAAACAACAACACAGUUAACAUGUAGAAAGCAACAGAGCAAUGUCAUGGAAUCAUUAAGAAAAAAAGCACUGAGUUAUACCAUAAAACUAUAUAUCAAUGAAAAUAUAAUUUAAUGAAGAAUGUAAUGCAAUAACUUUUAUGAAGGAUUAUUUAUUGCAACAGCAGUCAUAAAGAAGAAACGUGAAACACACAGAAAAAAUGAGAUAUACAGGUUAAUUGCCAUGUUGCCACUUUGUGAUAAGUAAGUGGGUUUUGGGUUGCAGUUUGGGCACUCGGUCUCUAAAAGGUUUGCCAUCACUGCCCUAGAUCAGUGGUUCAAGUAGGUAGCCAUGUUGGUCUGCCGUAGUCGAAAUAAAUUAAAACAAUUCUUUUAGAAGAUAUUUAAAAAGACUCUUCUUUUUAAUGGGUUUCUUUUUAUUUAUUUUAAUCUGCCUUUUCUAAGAGCUCACAGACCGACUGUUUCAUUCUCUGUUCUAGGACCUUUCUUGGUACUGAUAACACUCUCACUGGUCAGUCAUUACCUGUGUAGUAGGUGAUCUUUAUGCUAAGAGGAAGAUACUUUUUUUUUCCUUUUAGGGUCCAGUGUGCUUUGAAGAUGUAGCUGUUCAUUUCACAGACGAGGAGUGGGCGUUGCUGGAUCCUGACCAGAGAGCUCUGCAUAAGGAAGUCAUGGAGGAGAAUCGUGGGGUCAUGGACUCGCUUGGUAAGGCUCCCUGUUGGAUUGUGAUAUCUGUUUUGAAAUUCUAUGUGACAAACCUAUAUCUUGAUAUUUUUCAAGAACGCUGCUUCUUGCAUCUGGGAUUCUAAGACUCUUGCAGCUCACGCUGGAUGUGGGGCUAUCUGCUGUUUGGUCUGUAAAUAUUCUUCCUUCAGUAAUGCCUUUUUAAACCAUGAUCUGGCUGGACUGAACUGCCCAAGCCUUUUAAAAUGUAGGUUUUAAAGAUGUUUGAGAAGUUGUUUGGGAAGUUGAAGAAACUUCAGUCAGGCGUUUUGUUUUUGUUGUGUCCAUUUUUGUUUGACGAAUGAGAUGAGAUUGGUGAUGUUUCGGCUCAACAAAAGAAGUAAAAGAAAAGAUCCUGGCCUUUUUCAUAGAAUCAUAGAAUCAUAGAAUCAUAGAGUUGGAAGAGACCACAAGGGCCAUCGAGUCCAACCCCCUGCCAAGCAGGAAACACCAUCAGAGCACUCCUGACAUAUGGUUGUCAAGCCUCUGCUUAAAGACCUCCAAAGAAGGAGACUCCACCACACUCCUUGGCAGCAAAUUCCACUGUCGAACAGCUCUUACUGUCAGGAAGUUCUUCCUAAUGUUUAGGUGGAAUCUUCUUUCUUGUAGUUUGGAUCCAUUGCUCCGUGUCCGCUUCUCUGGAGCAGCAGAAACAACCUUUCUCCCUCCUCUAUGUGACAUCCUUUUAUAUAUUUGAACAUGGCUAUCAUAUCACCCCUUAACCUCCUCUUCUCCAGGCUAAACAUGCCCAGCUCUCUUAGCCGUUCCUCAUAAGGCAUCGUUUCCAGGCCUUUGACCAUUUUGGUUGCCCUCCUCUGGACACGUUCCAGUUUGUCAAUGUCCUUCUUGAAGUGUGGUGCCCAGAACUGGACACAGUACUCCAGGUGAGGUCUGACCAGAGCAGAAUACAGUGGCACUAUUACUUCCCUUGAUCUAGAUGCUAUACUCCUAUUGAUGCAGCCCAGAAUUGCAUUGGCUUUUUUAGCUGCCGCGUCACACUGUUGGCUCAUGUGAAGUUUGUGGUCAACCAAGACUCCUAGAUCCUUUUCACAUGUACUGCUCUCAAGCCAGGUGUCCCCCAUCUUGUAUUUGUGCCUCUCAUUUUUUUGCCCAAGUGCAAUACUUUACAUUUCUCCCUGUUAAAAUUCAUCUUGUUUGUUUUGGCCCAGUUCUCUAAUCUGUCAAGGUCGUUUUGAAGUGUGAUCCUGUCCUCUGGGGUGUUAGCCACCCCUCCCAAUUUGGUGUCAUCUGCAAAUUUGAUCAGGAUGCCCUUGAGUCCAUCACCCAAGUCGUUGAUAAAGAUGUUGAAUAAGACCGGGCCCAAGACAGAACCCUGUGGCACCCCACUAGUCACUCUUCUCCAGGAUGAAGAGGAACCAUUGAUGAGCACCCUUUGGGUUCGGUCAGUCAGCCAGUUACAAAUCCACUGAGUGGUAGCAUAGUCAAGACCGCAUUUUACCAGCUUCUUUACAAGAAUAUCAUGGGGCACCUUGUCAAAUGCCUUGCUGAAAUCAAGGUAGGCUACAUCCACUGCGUUCCCUUCAUCCACCAGGCUUGUAAUUCUGUCAAAAACGAGAUCAGGUUAGUCUGACAUGACUUAUUUUUCAGAAAUCCAUGCUGACUAUUGGUGAUCACAGCAUUCCUUUCUAGGUGCUCACAGACUGUUUGCUUAAUGAUCUGCUCCAGAAUCUUCCCUGGUAUUGAUGUCAGACUGACUGGGCGGUAAUUAUUUGGGUCCUCUCUUUUCCCCUUUUUGAAAAUAGGGACAACAUUUGCCCUCCUCCAGUCUGCCGGGACUUCGCCUGUUCUCCAGGAAUUCUCAAAGAUGACUGCCAGUGGUUCUGAGAUCACAUCUGCCAGUUCUUUUAAUACUCUUGGAUGCAGUUCAUCUGGCCCUGGAGACUUGAAUACAUCUAAACUAGCCAAGUAUUCUUGUACUAUCUCCUUAGUUAUUCUGGGCUGUGUUUCCUUUGCUGAAUCAUUUGCUCCAAAUUCUUCAGGUCGGGCAUUGUUUUCUUUAUCGGAGAAGACUGAGGCAAAGAAGGCAUUGAGGAGUUCAGCUCUUUCUGUGUCCCCUGUUUGCAUUUCACCAUCUUCUCCUCCUUUUUAUCUUUGUUGUUCCGAUAUUUAAGAGCUGCAUUUCUUCCUGAAGCUCUAAUGAAUUUCUCUCUUGAUUGCAGGUGCUGAAGAAUUGCAAAUGAAGAAUGAGGGAGACCCCGACAGAAUCCACAUACAGGAGAAGCCGCUUAAAUAUUCAGGGUCUGGAAAGAGAUUCAGUCAGAGCUCCCACUCAACUUCCAAUCUAACAAAUCUCUUGGGGAAGAAACAAUAUCAGUGUUUGGAAUGUGGAAAGAACUUCUGUCGGAAAUCCAACCUCACUUCUCAUCAAAUAACUCACAGCACAGAGAAACCAUAUCAGUGCCAAGAAUGUGGAAAGAGUUUCAGCUGGAAGAGAAGUUUCACCUCCCACCAAAAAAUUCAUACAGGGGAAAAACCCUAUCAGUGUUUGGAAUGUGGAAAGAACUUCAGUCGAAAGGAUGCUUUCACCUUCCAUCAAAGAAUUCAUACAGGGGAGAAACCAUAUCAGUGCAUGGUAUGUGGAAAGAGCUUCAGUCGGAAGCAAAGUCUAACUUUCCAUCAAAGAAUUCAUACCGGGGAGAAACCCUAUACGUGCUUAGAAUGUGGAAAGAGCUUCCGUCAGAAGGAUAGUCUCACUUCCCAUCAAAGAAUUCAUACAGGGGAGAAACCAUAUCAGUGCUUAAAAUGUGGGAAGGGGUUCUAUGGGAAGAAUAUGCUCACUUCUCAUGAAAAAAUUCAUACAGCGGAUAAACCCUAUCAGUGCUUGGAAUGUGGAAAGAGUUUCCGUCAGAAGAGUGAGCUCACUUCCCAUCAAAGAACUCAUACAGGGGAGAAACCAUAUGAGUGCAUGGAAUGUGGAAAGAGCUUCACUCACAGAGCUGGCCUCGUGUACCAUCAAAGAUUCCAUACAGGGGAAAAACCAUAUGAGUGCUUGGAGUGUGGAAAAAAAUUCAGUUGGAAGAAUAUGCUCACUUCGCACCAAAUAAUUCACACAGGGGAGAAUCCCUAUCAGUGCUUGGAAUGUGGAAAGAGCUUCAGUCGCAAGGAUAGUCUGACUCUCCAUCAAAGGAUUCAUACAGGGGAUAAACCAUAUCACUGCUUAGAAUGUGGAAAGAGCUUCACCCAGAGGGCCGCUCUCAUGUCCCAUAAAAGAAUUCAUACAGGGGAGAAACCGUAUAAGUGCUUGGAAUGUGGAAAGAACUUUGCUCACAAAGCUGGUCUCAUGUCCCAUCAAAGAAUUCAUACAGGGGAGAAACCAUAUGAGUGCUUGGAAUGUGGAAAGAGGUUCAGCUGGAAGAAUAUGCUCACUUCCCACAAGAUAAUUCACACAGGGGAGAACUAUCCAUGCUUGGAAUGCGGAAAGAGCUUCAGUCGGAAGGAUAGUCUGACUUCCCAUCAAAUAAUUCAUACAGGAGAGAAACCUUAUCAGUGCUUGGAAUGUGGGAAGGGGUUCUAUGGGAAGAAUAUUCUCACUUCUCAUCAAAAGGUUCAUACAGGGGAAAAACCCUAUUUUUGCCUGGAAUGUGGAAAGAGUUUCCGUCAGAAGAGCGAGCUCACUUCCCAUCACAGAAUUCAUACAGGGGAGAAGCCAUAUCAGUGCUUGGAGUGUGGAAAGAGGUUCACUCACAGAGCUGGUGUCAUGUACCAUGAAAGAAUACAUACAGGAGAGAAACCAUAUGAGUGCUUGGAGUGUGGAAAGAGGUUCAGCUGGAAGAAUAUGCUCACUUCCCACCAAAUAAUACACACUGGGGAGAAUCCCUAUCCUUGUUUGGAAUGUGGAAAGAACUUCACUCGGAAAGAUAGUCUGACUUCCCAUCAAAGAAUUCAUACAGGGGAGAAACCGUAUCAGUGCCUGGAAUGUGGAAAGAGCUUCACUCAGAGAGCCAGUCUUAUGUACCAUCAAAGAAUUCAUAUGAGAAGGAACCAUAUUGGUCCUUGGAAGGUGGAAGAGCUUCAAUCAGAGGGCCAGUCUCACUUCUCAUCAAUUAACUUACCGUGGGGAGAAACCAUAUAAGUUUUGGAAUGUAGAAAGAGCUUUACCCACUCACUGUCAAAGAAUUCAUAUGUUGGAAACCAUGGAAAUGCUUGUAAUGUGAAAUGAGCUUCAGCUGUAGCUCCAAUUUCACUUUGCAUCAAGAAACUCACAUUGAGGAGAAUCAUAGAGUCUCAGAAUUAUGGAGUUGUAGCAUUUGAGAGGACUCUGUGUGUUGUCUAGUUCACCCAUCUGGAAUGCAGGAAUCUACACUAUGCCAGAUGAGCAUGCAACCUCUGCUUAAAAACCUUCAUGGAAGGAGAACCCACCUCCUUCUGAGGCAGCCUGUUCCACCGUUGAAUAGCUCUUACUCGUGGAAGGUUCUUCCUGAUUUUUAGUCUGAUUCUCUUUUCUUGCAACUUGCAUCCAUUGCUUCAGGUCCUAUCUUCCAGAGCAGAACAAAACAGCCUUUCUUCAUCUUGUCCCCUCUUCCAUGAGACAGCCCUUGAGAUAUUUGAAGAUGGCUAUUAUAUCUCUUCUCAGUGUCUUCUUUUCUAGGCUGACCAUUCCUCAUAAGGCUUGGUUUCCAGACCCUUGAACGUCUUGGUCACCCUCCUCUGCACCCAUUCUGGAUGGCUUGUUUUUUGUUCCUGUUCCAUGGUGUUAGGGACUGGGCAGAGGAGGAAUGGUGGAGACCACCUCCCCAGCCUGACCUUUCCAGAGAAGAAGACAGUUCAGAAUUACAACAGGGGUUUGAGGGAGGUCACAGCUCAGAGGCAGAUGAGGGGGAAAGCUGGGAAAUAAGGGGACAUGAGAUGGAGGAAGAGGAAUCACCAGGAGGGCAAUAGCUGACAGACACAGUGUCUUUAGAAAGCAUUCUAGACCCCCCUCUCCCAGAACCCGGCAAGCCUUGAAAGUACAGUGGUACCUCGGGUUACAUACACUUCAGGUUACAGACUCUGCUAACCCAGAAAUAUUACUUUGGGUUAAGAACUUUGCUUCAGGAUGAGAACAGAAAUCGUGCUCUGGCGGUGCAGCAGCAGGAGGAGACCCCAUUAGCUAAAGUGGUGUUUCAGGUUAAGAACAGUUUCAGGUUAAGAACAGACCUCCAGAACGAAUUAAAUUCUAAACCCAAGGUACCACUGUAGAGCAAAGGGCCCUCAGCGCCACCCGUAGGGGAGAAGGUGACAAAUGAGGGAGAAAAAGGGAAGAAGAAGAAGAGUUUGGAUUUGAUAUCUCGCUUUAUCACUACCCGAAGGAGUCUCAAAGCAUCUAACAUUCUCCUUUCCCUUCCUCCCCCACAACAAACACUCUGUGAGGUGAGUGGGGCUGAGAGACUUCAGAGAGCUGUGACUAGCCCAAGGUCACCCACCAGCUGCAUGUGGAGGAGCGGCGACGCGAACCCGGUUCACCAGAUUACGAGACUACCACUCUUAACCACUACACCACACUGGCUCCCAGGGAGUGGAGAGUCACGCAGGACAACGCCAUUAGUCCCAGAGGCUGCGUUCCAAGCCUCUGUCUGUAAAUAUUGAAUAAAAAGCAGAUGGUAAGGACUUUUCAUUGUCUGUUCCUGGCAACCUGCUGUAGGGGCUGUUUCCUCUGCUGCCUGACAUGUAGACUAGUCUGACUUUUAUUGUAUGUCAAAAAAUUCAUUAAAUUUCCUUCUGCCCUCACUCUUUUGGAUGCUUCCUUGAUUUCAUUCACCAACGCAGGAUCACUCUG
This is a non-coding RNA of Podarcis lilfordi (Lilford's wall lizard), 9231 nucleotides long. The record is from the annotation of a GenBank genome assembly. Lineage: Eukaryota; Metazoa; Chordata; Lepidosauria; Squamata; Lacertidae.